ACAAGCCCUGGAAACGGGGUCUAAUACCGGAUACUGAUCCGCUUGGGCAUCCAAGUGGUUCGAAAGCUCCGGCGGUGCAGGAUGAGCCCGCGGCCUAUCAGCUUGUUGGUGAGGUAAUGGCUCACCAAGGCGACGACGGGUAGCCGGCCUGAGAGGGCGACCGGCCACACUGGGACUGAGACACGGCCCAGACUCCUACGGGAGGCAGCAGUGGGGAAUAUUGCACAAUGGGCGAAAGCCUGAUGCAGCGACGCCGCGUGAGGGAUGACGGCCUUCGGGUUGUAAACCUCUUUCAGCAGGGAAGAAGCGAAAGUGACGGUACCUGCAGAAGAAGCGCCGGCUAACUACGUGCCAGCAGCCGCGGUAAUACGUAGGGCGCAAGCGUUGUCCGGAAUUAUUGGGCGUAAAGAGCUCGUAGGCGGCUUGUCACGUCGGUUGUGAAAGCCCGGGGCUUAACCCCGGGUCUGCAGUCGAUACGGGCAGGCUAGAGUUCGGUAGGGGAGAUCGGAAUUCCUGGUGUAGCGGUGAAAUGCGCAGAUAUCAGGAGGAACACCGGUGGCGAAGGCGGAUCUCUGGGCC
This 579-nucleotide ribosomal RNA is filed under the name Streptomyces sp. MSWC2. RNAcentral's name for it is "bacterial SSU rRNA". It matches the Rfam family "Bacterial small subunit ribosomal RNA", at positions 143 to 735 of the family's 1533-position model. Lineage: Bacteria; Bacillati; Actinomycetota; Actinomycetes; Kitasatosporales; Streptomycetaceae. The record is from RNAcentral.